GGGUGAAUGGGAUGUCCGUCUGUCCAUCCACCACAAACACUGAGGGCCGCACGACCGUCUCCUCCAUGUCUGUGUGGACGAAACCCCGGGACGCGUGGGACUGGGCUGGCACCCGGGCGCCGUUCUGGGUUUGAGAGCACAGCCAUGAACAAGGGAGACAAAGGUCCCUGGUCUCAUGAAGCGCCUAUUCUAGCGGGGUGAGAAACACAGUGAGCUGAUAGACAAGAAAAUGCUGUACACUCGGCCCUGAACCACACAGGAGCUAGGGGCACUGACCCCCAGCACAACUGAAAGUCCACAUGUAACUACUUUUAACUCCACAGAACUUAACAGCAAGCCUGGUCAGUUCAUCCUCCAGGCCAGACCUCAGAUCCAGCCACCUGUUUCCAUCCCACUGCUGACCGCCUAGCUAAGUGCCGUGGACUGCACGUCUGUGCCCCACCCCCAGGCCAUGUGCUGAGGCCCUCAUCCCCACAGUGGUGGUAUUCAGAGGUGAGGUCUUGGGGGGUGACUGGGCCAUCAGGGUGGAGCCCUCACAGACGGGGUAAGUGUCUUUCUAAGAUGAGUCAUGAAUGAAAUGACCUCUCUGCCAUCUGAGGCCACACUGAGAAGGUAGCUGUCCGCAAGCUGUCACCAGAGGAAGGGGGCUCUCACCAGAACCUGACCAAGCUGGCCUUUCCAGCCUCCAGAACGGGGAGAAAUGAAUGGCUUGUUAUUUAAGCCACCCUGUCGAGGGCAUCUUGUUAUAGCAACCCGAACAGACUAACCAUUCUUUCUUGGACUGCUGCAGUAGCUUCCCACCUCAAUGUCCUGCGUUAACCUCUUGCGACCUUAUAAUUCAUGCUGUAGCCUCUCGCUGGCUUGAGCUCACUUAUUUAUUUAUAUUUAUUUUAUUGAGCCAAAAGUCAUAUACCAGAAAGCCAACCAUUAUAAAGUGAGCAACUCAGAGGCAUUUGGUACAUUUACAAUGUUGUGCAGUUCCAUCUAAUUCCAAAACACUUUCAAUGCUCCCCAAAGGACUCCAUAGCCAUUAAGUGGUCACUUCCCAUUCCCCAGUUGCCCCCAGCCGCCAGCAACCACCAGUCAGCUCUGUGGAUUUACGUGUCCUGGAUAUUUCAUAAAACUGGAAUCAUACACUGUGUGGCCUUUGUAUCCAGCUUCCCUCACUGAGCAUUGUUUUCAGGGUUCAUUCACCUUGUAUGUCCGGGCAUCAUUCCCUUCUGUGGCUGAGGGACGUCCCAUUUGGGUUGGACCACAUUUUGCUUUUCCACUUACACAUUGAUGGAUAUUUAAGUUGUUUGCCCCCUUUGGUUAUGGAGAAAAAUGCUGCUAUGAGCAUGUGUGCACAUAUACUUGUCUGGGUACCAGGUUUCAAUUCCUUUGGGCAUAUGCCUAGGAUUGUAAUUGCUGGUGUCAGCUUUUUAAACAUGUAAGUCAGUGUCAAUGCUUUCCUGGUUAAAACCAUGUGGUGGCUUGCCACUGACCUUGCAAGGGUCAGCAGAUUAUGGACUGUGAGUCAAAUAAUUGCACAGCCACGGCAGCCGCCCUCAGGGGCUAGCCCUUUAGUGGGCUGUAGGGAGCCAGCUGGGGCGUCCUCCUCUGUUCUUGUUCCCCACUGGCUCCCAGUGUCCACCUCCCAGUGACCACAGUCAAUGCCUCAUUGCUGUCCAUGCCCUGUGCUGAUCAUGCUGGCCGCCACCUACACAUUGCAAUGUUCUCUGCUGGCGACUGCCAGGCCACUGGGUGGAUGAUUCUCCUUCAGAGGGUUGGUGACUCAGCUAGUAGCCUUGCCUCUGGCCAGCUAAUCCAGGUAAGACAGCUGGGGCUCGGGGGAGAACGGCGGCUGGCUGGCAUCUGGGUAUCACCCCUCACCUCCUCCACCUGCCUGGACUUCAAGCCCCUCCCCAUCAGGUGGAUCACUGUCCAUCCAGAGAAUGUCUCUGGCAGCUGGGCACGAAGCACACCCAACCCCCGGGAUGGCCAGUCCCAAGCGAACUGGGCACGGCAGGGCAGAAGUGUCCUCUCUUGACCUUCCUAAUGUCCUUGAUUUUAUCUCUUGGCCCUGCAAGCCUCAAACAUUGACUAUCUGGCGCUUUAUCGGAAAGUCUGCCAUCCCGAGCUUAGAACAGAGACACUAAGCAGUCUUCACUAUCUUGAAGCCGGUGCACCCUUAUUAACGUUGCCCAGGCAUCUCGGGGCCUUUUCCCUGGUCCUUCUGCCCAAAGAGUCUUUCCCAGAUCCCCAGGCUGGCUCCUCUUUGUCAUGUACUUAAUCCAAGAAGGCUGGUCAAGCCAAAUGAUGAUGAUGGCUGGAGUCUGAAGACUAGAAAUUCAGGCAGAAUUUCUACGCCGCCAUCUCUAAUUCUUUCUUCCUCAGAAAACCCGAUCUUUUGCUCUCCGGCCCUUCAACUGAUUAGAUGAAGCCCACCCACAUUAUCCAGGGUAACCAGCUUUUAAAAUCAACUGGCUAGGUGAGAAUUGCCUCUAAAAAAUACCUUGAUUGCAGCGUUUGGAUUGCCUUUUGCCCAAACGACUGGUCACUGUAGCCUCGCUAAGUUGACGCAUGAAAUAAACUGUCACUCAAUCGAAAUGGCCUUUACAGGCUGCCCCAGGGCAGGCAGGCCUCGUGCCUCCACUCUGAACAUCUCACUGUCUGAAAUCAACUCAGUGCUGCCUUCAGAAUGUGAGUUUCAAAAGAUCUUGUCUGUGCUGUUCACAGCCAAGAACCACAGGUGGUCAAACAAAACACCCAGUAAGUUAAAGAAAUGAAGAGAGGGAAUCCCUGGGCAAGAGAAGGGGAAAUAAGUGAAAAAGAAAUGGGGUGGACAUAAAGGAGGGCAGGGGCGGGGCUGGCAGGUGUCGGCGGGACGCCCAGUGAGGGCUGAGGAUCUUUGAUUGACAGGGGUCUCUGGCGGCCCGGGCGGGGCUGGAGCCAGAGCGGGCUGGACGGUGAAUCUACUGCCCCCAUAUUCCUGGAGUUGGGGAGUGGGGGUUUCCAGGGCUUGGGGGUCUUAGGGGAAAGGGGCUUCCUUAGAGGCGACUUCCAGGCUCAGGCGAUUUCCCUGAUGACCUGAUCCGCAGGGGGGAAGCUUGGAGCCACUCUCCACAAUCUUCCAGGGUCCGCAGACUGAGUCAGAAGAGGUACCUGGGGCCCCAGUGCCCCCGGGUCCCCAGUGACGGCCUGUGGCUGCCAACCCCACGCAUUUCUGGUGGUGCUGUGACCGCGGCGGCCCCCGCACUCCCUGGGGGCUGCUGACUCAUGCCUUCCCCUCACUGCAAGCUCGGAGCUCCAGCCGGAAGCAGCGCCCCGCAGCCCCUUACCGCCCCCUCCCGGGCACAGCUGCUACCCUCGGUCCCCGAGAGGCGUGGGCUAGUCUGCUCAGGGGGGCAAAUGGAGCCAGGUGAGGAGGAGGCAGGUGGCGAACAGUUGAGAAUACAGGUAAGAGUGGGUGUGGGUGCAGAUUCCGGUAAGUUUACAGAUAAAGAUGUAGGCGGGGAGGGGAGGAUGCCCCAAAAUUC
This is a long non-coding RNA of Manis javanica (Malayan pangolin), 3518 nucleotides long. RefSeq lists it as uncharacterized. The record is from RefSeq and is a predicted model, not a curated record. NCBI's taxonomy places the organism in Eukaryota, Metazoa, Chordata, Mammalia, Pholidota, Manidae.